CGAACGGGUGAGUAACGCGUGAGGGACCUGCCUCAAAGAGGGGGACAACAGUUGGAAACGACUGCUAAUACCGCAUAAGCCCACGGCUCGGCAUCGAGCAGAGGGAAAAGGAGUGAUCCGCUUUGAGAUGGCCUCGCGUCCGAUUAGCUAGUUGGUGAGGUAACGGCCCACCAAGGUGACGAUCGGUAGCCGGACUGAGAGGUUAAACGGCCACAUUGGGACUGAGACACGGCCCAG
Molecule: ribosomal RNA, 237 nt
Filed under: uncultured bacterium
Lineage: Bacteria
Description: partial 16S ribosomal RNA
Rfam family: Bacterial small subunit ribosomal RNA
Source: RNAcentral